UGGGAUUUCGUGGGACAUUCUGUGAGAUAGAAAUGACAAUGCCCUGCGAAAUCCUAAA
This 58-nucleotide microRNA precursor is filed under the name Lingula anatina. RNAcentral's name for it is "Lan-Mir-193-P2q_pre stem-loop". Lineage: Eukaryota; Metazoa; Brachiopoda; Lingulata; Lingulida; Lingulidae. The record is from RNAcentral.